GGACCUUCACAAUAGUGGGUGUAGACACCUAAUUUUGUCCCUUUCGAAAGUCAAAUUUACCCAUUUACUUCACAUUACCAUACACCUCUUUUUAGUUGAUAAUUUUUUUCACAAAAUGAUAAAAAUAAUAACCAACUCUCAACAAUCCCAUAACAAAAAAUAACAACCUACCCCUACCCCAUCCCAUACCCACGUACCCCUUACUACCACACUCCCCUACCACUACCCUUUUCACGUUUUCCCUUCCCCUUUCACUGAUAUACGCACAUCUCACAAAUAUACACCCAUCCUUACUGAUAUACAUACUCUCACAGCUUCAAUACCCACGAACAUACUCACACUCAGAACACACAAAGAGAGCUCACGAUUCCAUGAACAAAUUUACUCUCAAUUACCACAAUACACACACCAGCGUGGGGAAAGGAAAAAAAUACAUAAAAUAUAGGGAGAGACUUCCAUUUUCAUUGGGUAAUACACACAGAAGCACAAAAAUACACAGUCAACUCUCACAAUUCAGAUACCGAAUGCGCAUACACCUCACGAUUCUAUUAGGCAGAAAAGAAUUCACUCUCAAUUCAUACAUACUUAUACACAUACAUACAUAAAUCGGAGAAGGUCAAGAGAGAUGAAUGAAGGGAUACAGAAUAACUGGUGGUGAACGAGAGCUAGAAUAGAGAAACAGAGAGAGAUUAAAAAAAGGAAAAUUGGGCGGUUAGCCAUUUUUGGUGAGUUUUUCACCCGAAACUGGACAAAAUUGCUGCUAGAUUCUUCAAAAGCCACAGUUUGGCUACUGUUUCGGCAAAACCCGUCGGAUAAAAGUAUCGUCAAUUUCAUUAUGACCCAAAUUCACGCCAAAAGAGGUCAUCCUUUCCCUAUUUUCAUCUUUAACUCCAAUAAAAAAUCCCAUCGAUUGCACAAGCAGACCAGAAAUCAUACUCGUUGUGGUUAGAAUUUGAAUAUUCGAUUUGUUCGUAUUAUUCGUGGGUCUAUACCUUGGGUUCGUUGCACUAUCAGUCAAAGAAAAGAGAAAAUCAAGGUCAAGUUUUACAUUUUUGUGGGCUAGUUCGAGGUUCCAAAUUCGUGAAGCUUCUCGGUUUAAUUGAAAGCAAAGCAUAAUUGAGCUCUUAUUCUUUCUUCUCUUCCUUUUAAUUCUUAUUUGAUUGUGAACGUGAUUUGAUAUCACUAUUUUAUUCGCUGAUAUGACUUGUUGGUGACGUUUGAGUGUUGGAUUAGUGAAUGUUUGUUAUUCAUGAUUGGUGAAUGUUUGUUCUUAAAUAUUGGUGAAUGCUUGCUUAUUGAAUGAUUAAUUAAUUGGGUGAUCGGGAAUAAAUUAGGGAACUUGAGAAUCGAUAAAAAGUAAAUAUUGUGGUAUUUUGAUUCAUUAUUGAUGUUGAACGUGAUAGUAUUAUGCUUUAGGCCGAAAGUAGUAGACAAAUACUAAGUUGGAUAGGCAAAUUAUAGAAUUUGAUGAUUGUGGGAUGAUUGAAUUUUGUACUCGAGAUUGUUUU
Molecule: long non-coding RNA, 1508 nt
Filed under: Capsicum annuum
Lineage: Eukaryota; Viridiplantae; Streptophyta; Magnoliopsida; Solanales; Solanaceae
Description: long non-coding RNA (CANN_LNC011392)
Source: RNAcentral